This 72-nucleotide transfer RNA is filed under the name Fasciola gigantica. It matches the Rfam family "tRNA". From Rfam's summary of the family: Transfer RNA (tRNA) molecules are approximately 80 nucleotides in length. Their secondary structure includes four short double-helical elements and three loops (D, anti-codon, and T loops). Further hydrogen bonds mediate the characteristic L-shaped molecular structure. tRNAs have two regions of fundamental functional importance: the anti-codon, which is responsible for specific mRNA codon recognition, and the 3' end, to which the tRNAs corresponding amino acid is attached (by aminoacyl-tRNA synthetases). tRNAs cope with the degeneracy of the genetic code in two manners: having more than one tRNA (with a specific anti-codon) for a particular amino acid; and 'wobble' base-pairing, i.e. permitting non-standard base-pairing at the 3rd anti-codon position. Lineage: Eukaryota; Metazoa; Platyhelminthes; Trematoda; Plagiorchiida; Fasciolidae. The record is from Rfam by way of RNAcentral.
AUCACGAUAGCUCAACUAACAGAGCAUUUUUCCGGCAAGGGAAUGUUGCCGGUUCGAUUCCGGCUCGUGAUU